This is a non-coding RNA of Mus musculus (house mouse), 72 nucleotides long. Lineage: Eukaryota; Metazoa; Chordata; Mammalia; Rodentia; Muridae. The record is from Rfam.
GGAGCUAUGGCUCAGUGGUUAGAGCACUGUCUGCCCAUCCAGAGGACCUGGGUUUGAUUCCCAGCACCCACA